GACGAACGCUGGCGGCGUGCUUAACACAUGCAAGUCGAACGGAAAGGCCCUGCUUUUGUGGGGUGCUCGAGUGGCGAACGGGUGAGUAACACGUGAGUAACCUGCCCUUGACUUUGGGAUAACUUCAGGAAACUGGGGCUAAUACCGGAUAGGAUCUCCUGCUGCAUGGUGGGGGUUGGAAAGUUUCGGCGGUUGGGGAUGGACUCGCGGCUUAUCAGCUUGUUGGUGGGGUAGUGGCUUACCAAGGCUUUGACGGGUAGCCGGCCUGAGAGGGUGACCGGGCACAUUGGGACUGAGAUACGGCCCAGACUCCUACGGGAGGCAGCAGUGGGGAAUAUGGCACAAUGGGCGGAAGCCUGAUGCAGCAACGCCGCGUGCGGGAUGACGGCCUUCGGGUUGUAAACCGCUUUCGCCUGUGACGAAGCGUGAGUGACGGUAAUGGGUAAAGAAGCACCGGCUAACUACGUG
Molecule: ribosomal RNA, 468 nt
Filed under: uncultured bacterium
Lineage: Bacteria
Description: partial 16S ribosomal RNA
Rfam family: Bacterial small subunit ribosomal RNA
Source: RNAcentral